This 29-nucleotide small RNA is filed under the name Bombyx mori (domestic silkworm). Its description in RNAcentral is "ovarian small RNA-29138". Lineage: Eukaryota; Metazoa; Arthropoda; Insecta; Lepidoptera; Bombycidae. The record is from RNAcentral.
UCGUAGGCACAUGAACCGGCAGUGCGUGG